RNAcentral lists this ribosomal RNA (483 nucleotides) under uncultured bacterium. Its description in RNAcentral is "partial 16S ribosomal RNA". It matches the Rfam family "Bacterial small subunit ribosomal RNA", at positions 28 to 507 of the family's 1533-position model. The record is from RNAcentral.
GACGAACGCUGGCGGCGUGCUUAACACAUGCCAGUCGAACGCUGAAGCUCAGCUUUUGUUGGGUGGAUGAGUGGCGAACGGGUGAGUAACACGUGAGUAACCUGCCCCCUUCUUUGGGAUAACGCCCGGAAACGGGUGCUAAUACUGGAUAUUCACUGGUCUUCGCAUGGGGGUUGGUGGAAAGGGUUUUUCUGGUGGGGGAUGGGCUCGCGGCCUAUCAGCUUGUUGGUGGGGUGAUGGCCUACCAAGGCUUUGACGGGUAGCCGGCCUGAGAGGGUGACCGGUCACAUUGGGACUGAGAUACGGCCCAGACUCCUACGGGAGGCAGCAGUGGGGAAUAUUGCACAAUGGGCGCAAGCCUGAUGCAGCGACGCCGCGUGAGGGAUGGAGGCCGUCGGGUUGUGAACCUCUUUCGCACAUGGUCAAGCCGAAACAAUGGUUGUGGUGGGGGUAGUGGGUAAAGAAGCGCCGGCUAACUACGUG